RNAcentral lists this ribosomal RNA (490 nucleotides) under uncultured bacterium. Its description in RNAcentral is "partial 16S ribosomal RNA". It matches the Rfam family "Bacterial small subunit ribosomal RNA", at positions 30 to 507 of the family's 1533-position model. The record is from RNAcentral.
AUUGAACGCUGGCGGCAGGCCUAACACAUGCAAGUCGAACGGAAACAGGAAGAAGCUUGCUUAUUUGCUGACGAGUGGCGGACGGGUGAGUAAUGUCUGGGAACCUGCCUGAUGGAGGGGGAUAACUACUGGAAACGGUAGCUAACACCGCAUAACGUCGCAAGACCAAAGAGGGGGAGAUUCGGGCAUCUUGUCAUCGGAUGUGCCCAGCUGGGAUUAGUUAGUAGGUGGGGUAACGGUUCACCUAGGCGACGAUCCCUAGCUGGUCUGAGAGGAUGACCCGCCACACUGGAACGGAGAAGCGGCCCAGACUCCUACGGGAGGCAGCAGAUGGGAAUUGGGCACAAUGGGGGCAAGCCUGACGCAGCCAAGCCGCGUGUAUGACAAAGGCCUUGGGUUUGUAAAGAACGUUCGGCGGGGAGGAAGGGAGUAAACGUAAUACGUUUUCUCAUUGACGUUAACCGCAGAAGAAGCACCGGCUAACUCCGUG